Molecule: ribosomal RNA, 253 nt
Filed under: uncultured bacterium
Lineage: Bacteria
Description: partial 16S ribosomal RNA
Rfam family: Bacterial small subunit ribosomal RNA
Source: RNAcentral
UACAGAGACUGCGAGCGCUAUUCGGAUUCACUGGGCGUAAAGGGUGCGCAGGCGGCCGAGUGUGUGAGGCGUGAAAGCCCGGGGCUUAACCCCGGAAUUGCACCUCAAACUACACGGCUAGAGCAUUGGAGAGGGUAGCAGAAUUCAUGGUGUAGCAGUGAAAUGCGUAGAUAUCAUGAGGAAUACCAGAGGCGAAGGCGGCUACCUGGACAAUUGCUGACGCUCAGGCACGAAAGCGUGGGGAGCAAAAGGG